Molecule: long non-coding RNA, 376 nt
Organism: Pundamilia nyererei
Lineage: Eukaryota; Metazoa; Chordata; Actinopteri; Cichliformes; Cichlidae
Exons: 4
Source: RefSeq, a predicted model, not a curated record
GUGAAUGGAAAACGUUCUUGAAGAAACGAAGGUUAAAAUAUGAGGCUGUAGCGUGACGCAGGGUGGUACUGGAGGUGAUAUCCGGAGUAAUCAUGCGGGAGCUCCCAUCCUGAAACACGCAGAUCUCCAUGUGGCUGAAGCGACCGGCAGAUGCACACGGUUCUUAAUAUACUAUAAGCGUGUCUAAACAUUUACAUGAAGUGCAGCUCGACCGGUCGCCAGCCUCUGGGGAACAUCCCGAGGAUGGAUGAAAGCUUCCAAAGCAAGACUGUGGGGACAACGGUCAACACACUCAAAUCUGUCUGAAGUCGGUGAACCUGUGAUGUUUUUUUUGAUGUGCAUCUCACUCUGUUGCUAAUAAACUUUAAAAUUGUAA